Molecule: ribosomal RNA, 593 nt
Filed under: Salmonella enterica subsp. enterica
Lineage: Bacteria; Pseudomonadati; Pseudomonadota; Gammaproteobacteria; Enterobacterales; Enterobacteriaceae
Description: bacterial SSU rRNA
Rfam family: Bacterial small subunit ribosomal RNA
Source: RNAcentral
UGCUUUGCUGACGAGUGGCGGACGGGUGAGUAAUGUCUGGGAAACUGCCUGAUGGAGGGGGAUAACUACUGGAAACGGUGGCUAAUACCGCAUAACGUCGCAAGACCAAAGGGGGGGACCUUCGGGCCUCUUGCCAUCAGAUGUGCCCAGAUGGGAUUAGCUUGUUGGUGAGGUAACGGCUCACCAGGGCGACUAUCCCUAGCUGGUCUGAGAGGAUGACCAGCCACACUGGAACUGAGACACGGUCCACACUCCUACGGGGGGCAGCAGUGGGGAAUAUUGCACAGUGGGCGCAAGCCUGAUGCACCCAUGCCGCGUGUAUGAAGAAGGCCUUCGGGUUGUAAAGUACUUUCAGCGGGGAGGAAGGUGUUGUGGUUAAUAACCGCAGCAUUUGACGUUCCCCGCAAAAGAAGCACCGGCUAACUCCGUGCCAGCACCCGCGGUAAUACGGAGGGUGCAAGCGUUAAUCGGAAUUACUGGGCGUAAAGCGCACGCGGGCGGUCUGUCAAGUCGGAUGUGAAAUCCCCGGGCUCAACCUGGGAACUGCUUUCAAAACUGGCGGGUUUGAGUCUUGUAGAGGGGGGUAGAAUUCC